UUGUAAUGAUGUUGAUCAAAUGUCUGACCUGAAAUGAGCAUGUAGAUGAGCUUUUAACACUGAAAAA
Molecule: small nucleolar RNA, 67 nt
Organism: Perognathus longimembris pacificus (Pacific pocket mouse)
Lineage: Eukaryota; Metazoa; Chordata; Mammalia; Rodentia; Heteromyidae
Source: RefSeq, a predicted model, not a curated record